This 452-nucleotide ribosomal RNA is filed under the name uncultured Hyphomicrobiales bacterium. Its description in RNAcentral is "bacterial SSU rRNA". It matches the Rfam family "Bacterial small subunit ribosomal RNA", at positions 202 to 675 of the family's 1533-position model. The record is from RNAcentral. Lineage: Bacteria; Pseudomonadati; Pseudomonadota; Alphaproteobacteria; Hyphomicrobiales.
AAANAUUUAUCGGCUUAAGAUGAGCCCGCGUUGGAUUAGCUGGUUGGUGGGGUAAAGGCCUACCAAGGCGACGAUCCAUAGCUGGUCUGAGAGGAUGAUCAGCCACACUGGGACUGAGACACGGCCCAGACUCCUACGGGAGGCAGCAGUGGGGAAUAUUGGACAAUGGGCGCAAGCCUGAUCCAGCCAUGCCGCGUGAGUGAAGAAGGCCUUAGGGUUGUAAAGCUCUUUCACCGGUGAAGAUAAUGACGGUAGCCGGAGAAGAAGCCCCGGCUAACUUCGUGCCAGCAGCCGCGGUAAUACGAAGGGGGCUAGCGUUGUUCGGAUUUACUGGGCGUAAAGCGCGCGUAGGCGGAUAGAUAAGUCAGAGGUGAAAUCCCGGGGCUCAACCCCGGAAUUGCCUUUGAUACUGUUUAUCUUGAGUGCAGAAGAGGUAAGUGGAAUUCCGAGUG